GACGAACGCUGGCGGCGUGCUUAACACAUGCAAGUCGAGCGGUAAGGCCCUUUCGGGGGUACACGAGCGGCGAACGGGUGAGUAACACGUGGGUGACCUGCCCUCAGCUCUGGGAUAAGCCUGGGAAACCGGGUCUAAUACUGGAUAUGACUCCAUGACGCAUGUUGUGGGGUGGAAAGCCUUGUGCGGCUGAGGAUGGGCCCGCGGCCUAUCAGCUUGUUGGUGGGGUGANGGCCUACCAAGGCGACGACGGGUAGCCGGCCUGAGAGGGCGACCGGCCACACUGGGACUGAGACACGGCCCAGACUCCUACGGGAGGCAGCAGUGGGGAAUCUUGCGCAAUGGGCGAAAGCCUGACGCAGCGACGCCGCGUGAGGGAUGACGGCCUGGUUGUAACUACUUCUA
RNAcentral lists this ribosomal RNA (405 nucleotides) under uncultured bacterium. Its description in RNAcentral is "bacterial SSU rRNA". It matches the Rfam family "Bacterial small subunit ribosomal RNA", at positions 28 to 435 of the family's 1533-position model. The record is from RNAcentral.